ACCUGCGGAAGGAUCAUUACUGAGUGAGGGCCCUCUGGGUCCAACCUCCCACCCGUGUUUAUUAUACCUUGUUGCUUCGGUGCGCCCGCCUCACGGCCGCCGGGGGGCUUCUGCCCCCGGGUCCGCGCGCACCGGAGACACUAUUGAACUCUGUCUGAAGAUUGCAGUCUGAGCAUAAACUAAAUAAGUUAAAACUUUCAACAACGGAUCUCUUGGUUCCGGCAUCGAUGAAGAACGCAGCGAAAUGCGAUAACUAAUGUGAAUUGCAGAAUUCAGUGAAUCAUCGAGUCUUUGAACGCACAUUGCGCCCCCUGGUAUUCCGGGGGGCAUGCCUGUCCGAGCGUCAUUGCUGCCCUCAAGCACGGCUUGUGUGUUGGGCUCCGUCCCCCCGGGGACGGGUCCGAAAGGCAGCGGCGGCACCGAGUCCGGUCCUCGAGCGUAUGGGGCUUUGUCACCCGCUCUGUAGGCCCGGCCGGCGCCAGCCGACAACCAAUCAUCCUUUUUUCAGGUUGACCUCGGAUCAGGUAGGGAUACCCGCUGAACUUAAGCAUAUCAAUAAGGCCGGGAGGA
Molecule: ribosomal RNA, 570 nt
Filed under: Penicillium glabrum
Lineage: Eukaryota; Fungi; Ascomycota; Eurotiomycetes; Eurotiales; Aspergillaceae
Description: eukaryotic LSU rRNA
Rfam family: 5.8S ribosomal RNA (bases 193-346)
Source: RNAcentral